CUCUGGGGCCAACCUGAGCUCCCAGACACCUCUAUCGGAGGGCUGAGAUUCUGGCUCCGCCUUUCCUCAGGUGGGCCAGUCCCCAUUCUCGCUCUACUUCCCCUCUCUCUGGACCAUACCCAAACCACCCCCGCCACCCCUCUCCCGGGCCUCAUCUCACUCUCACCCGCGAGGUGCCCCGGCGCCGCAGGGCAGUGGCGGCCUGCAGGUGUGCAGCGCAGGUGAGGGGCUGGGACCACGUCGCCGCCCGCUCGCGGAGCUCGGGGCUAAGUGGCUCACCUGAGUGGAACUCGCCCCAGGCAGACAGUCGAAAACUGGCUGCUCGGAGCCCUGCCCCAGCUGGGCCCCUAGCAGGAACCCUCGCCCGAGCCAUGACGGGCUGGCCUCUUCUCUGCGCCCUGCUGCUGCCGCUGGCUUCGAAGUUGGAUGGCGUUGGAGGGAAUACCACUUCCAUAGCUACUACGAAGACUUCCAAUAUCAUCUUCUCCAGUACACCCCAAUCCACCAUCACCUCCUCCAAUGAAAGCUCCCACCCCACUUCCUCCACCCCCUCCCCCAAAACUUCCCACAGUGGUACCCCCUCCUCUACUGGCAGCUCCAACAGUGUCAGUACCUCCCACAGCGUUAUCCCCCCCACCAACAUCCCCUCCACCCCCUUCCCUAGUGUCACUCCCUUCUCCAAGGACUCUACCUACCAUACCUCCCAUACCAGUUACCCCACCUCCUCCCACAGUGGCUCGCCUUCCUCCACCACCUCCCACAGCCACUCUACCUCUCACAAUAGCAGGCCCUUCUCUCCAACCCCCCCUGAGGGCUCCUCCCCAAGCUCAAGCAUCUCCUCCAGAGCUCCGACAGCUGCUGCCAAUAGGACCCUCUCAACAACCAAGCUGCGGAUCAGUGCCAGUGCAGGAGUGAACCAGCGUAAUCCUGGUGUGGUCAUUGUGGUCUGCCUGCUCGUAUCCAUUCUGGUCCUGGGCUCCGUGGUGGUAGCUGUGAAAUGCUGCCAGAAGGACAUGAGAAGCUUUCAGAAGAUGGAUGAGGUGCCCAUGGAAACUGUUCGAGAAGAGGCACCUUUUGCUAGAUUCCCCCCUCAGUGACCACAGAGGGCAGUGGGAGGUGGAGAGGUGGGUUCUGAGGGGCUUUGGGAACAGCUCCUGCUCAUCUGUGUCAUCUCCUUCCUCCCAGAUGGAUACUGGUGUCUGUCACUGAAUAAAACAAAGAACGAAAUGAGACU
This 1234-nucleotide long non-coding RNA is filed under the name Monodelphis domestica (gray short-tailed opossum). Its description in RNAcentral is "lncRNA (ENSMODG00000030817.2)". The record is from RNAcentral. Lineage: Eukaryota; Metazoa; Chordata; Mammalia; Didelphimorphia; Didelphidae.